This 254-nucleotide ribosomal RNA is filed under the name uncultured bacterium. RNAcentral's name for it is "partial 16S ribosomal RNA". It matches the Rfam family "Bacterial small subunit ribosomal RNA", at positions 524 to 776 of the family's 1533-position model. The record is from RNAcentral.
UACGAACUGUGCGAACGUUAUUCGGAAUCACUGGGCUUACAGGGUGCGUAGGCGGCUUGGCAAGUCGGGUGUGAAAUCCCCAGGCUUAACCUGGGAACUGCAUCCGAUACUGGAUGGCUUGAAUCCGGGAGAGGGAUGCAGAAUUCCAGGUGUAGCGGUGAAAUGCGUAGAUAUCUGGAGGAAUACCGGUGGCGAAGGCGGCAUCCUGGACCGGCAUUGACGCUGAGUGAGCGAAAGCCAGGGGAGCAAACGGG